UGGGGAAUAUUGCACAAUGGGCGAAAGCCUGAUGCAGCAACGCCGCGUGAGUGAUGAAGGUCUUCGGAUUGUAAAGCUCUGUCUUUUGGGACGAUAAUGACGGUACCAAAGGAGGAAGCCACGGCUAACUACGUGCCAGCAGCCGCGGUAAUACGUAGGUGGCGAGCGUUGUCCGGAUUUACUGGGCGUAAAGGGUGCGUAGGCGGAUGUUUAAGUGAGAUGUGAAAUACCCGGGCUUAACUUGGGUGCUGCAUUUCAAACUGGAUAUCUAGAGUGCAGGAGAGGAGAAUGGAAUUCCUAGUGUAGCGGUGAAAUGCGUAGAGAUUAGGAAGAACACCAGUGGCGAAGGCGAUUCUCUGGACUGUAACUGACGCUGAGGCACGAAAGCGUGGGUAGCAAACAGGAUUAGAUACCCUGGUAGUCCACGCCGUAAACGAUGAGUACUGGGUGUAGGAGGUAUCGACCCCUUCUGUGCCGCAGUAAACACAUUAAGUACUCCGCCUGGGAAGUAC
RNAcentral lists this ribosomal RNA (512 nucleotides) under uncultured bacterium. Its description in RNAcentral is "partial 16S ribosomal RNA". It matches the Rfam family "Bacterial small subunit ribosomal RNA", at positions 355 to 883 of the family's 1533-position model. The record is from RNAcentral.